Molecule: ribosomal RNA, 407 nt
Filed under: uncultured bacterium
Lineage: Bacteria
Description: partial 16S ribosomal RNA
Rfam family: Bacterial small subunit ribosomal RNA
Source: RNAcentral
UGGGGAAUAUUGGACAAUGGGCGAAAGCCUGAUCCAGCCAUGCCGCGUGUGUGAAGAAGGUCUUCGGAUUGUAAAGCACUUUAAGUUGGGAGGAAGGGCAGUAAAUUAAUACUUUGCUGUUUUGACGUUACCGACAGAAUAAGCACCGGCUAACUCUGUGCCAGCAGCCGCGGUAAUACAGAGGGUGCAAGCGUUAAUCGGAAUUACUGGGCGUAAAGCGCGCGUAGGUGGUUCGUUAAGUUGGAUGUGAAAUCCCCGGGCUCAACCUGGGAACUGCAUUCAAAACUGACGAGCUAGAGUAUGGUAGAGGGUGGUGGAAUUUCCUGUGUAGCGGUGAAAUGCGUAGAUAUAGGAAGGAACACCAGUGGCGAAGGCGACCACCUGGACUGAUACUGACACUGAGGUGC